GCGGGCGUCGUAUAGGGGUUAAUAUCGAAGUUUUCCAAAAUUCUGACGCGAGUUCGAGUCUCGCCGCCCGCACCA
Molecule: transfer RNA, 75 nt
Filed under: Candidatus Nomurabacteria bacterium
Lineage: Bacteria; Candidatus Nomuraibacteriota
Description: tRNA-Trp
Rfam family: tRNA
About the family: Transfer RNA (tRNA) molecules are approximately 80 nucleotides in length.
Source: RNAcentral